RNAcentral lists this ribosomal RNA (572 nucleotides) under uncultured bacterium. Its description in RNAcentral is "bacterial SSU rRNA". It matches the Rfam family "Bacterial small subunit ribosomal RNA", at positions 210 to 783 of the family's 1533-position model. The record is from RNAcentral.
GCAAGGGGCCUAUUGACGAGCCUGCGUCUGAUUAGCUAGUUGGUGAGGUAACGGCCCACCAAGGCGACGAUCAGUAGCUGGUCUGAGAGGAUGAUCAGCCACACUGGAACUGAGACACGGUCCAGACUCCUACGGGAGGCAGCAGUGAGGAAUAUUGCGCAAUGGCCGAAAGGCUGACGCAGCGACGCCGCGUGAAGGAUGAAGUUCGUUAGAAUGUAAACUUCUUUUGUAGGGGAUGAAUGUGCCGUUUUACGGCAUUGACCGUACCCUGCGAAUAAGGAUCGGCUAACUACGUGCCAGCAGCCGCGGUAAUACGUAGGAUCCGAGCGUUGUCCGGAUUUACUGGGUGUAAAGGGCGUGUAGGUGGGUCUCUAAGUCAGUGGUGAAAGCCCGCAGCUUAACUGCGGAAUUGUCAUUGAUACUGGAGGUCUUGAGUACGGCAGAGGGAAAUGGAAUUCAUGGUGUAGCGGUGAAAUGUGUAGAUAUCAUGAAGAACACCGGUAGCGAAGGCGGUUUCCUGGUCCGUAACUGACACUGAGGCGCGAAAGCGUGGGGAGCAAACAGGAUUAGAU